UUAAGUUCUACGGGGAAGCAAAAAAACAGCGCGGGGUUAGCGUUGCCGGCACGUGCAUGACGUGCCGGCUGCGCGAUAGCGGCAUGCACGACGGGGCCAACCAUCGUCGAACGUCCAUCGCAUGCGGGCAGACUUGCAGACCAGCACGACUUGCCGUCCAACCGGGGGAGCAGCAUCGGGCGGCGGUGGACGUUUCUCGAUC
This 202-nucleotide non-coding RNA is filed under the name Burkholderia sp. lig30. Its description in RNAcentral is "Burkholderia sRNA 1". It matches the Rfam family "Burkholderia sRNA 1". From Rfam's summary of the family: Trans-encoded, exhibits differential expression profiles dependent on growth phase and cell stimuli, such as antbiotics and serum. Lineage: Bacteria; Pseudomonadati; Pseudomonadota; Betaproteobacteria; Burkholderiales; Burkholderiaceae. The record is from Rfam by way of RNAcentral.